GUCCCGUUUUUUAAACAGGUUAAAAGACAAAAGCUAAUUGAAGUUUUUAGCGGUUUAUCCGCAUAAAGAUCUGAUAGGAUACUGAUAAUGACAAUAUUCUAUACAAGUCUUGACUAAAUCACGUGCCAGCAGUCGCGGCAAUACGGGAAAGACGAGUGUUAUUCAUCUUUAAUAGGUUUAAAGGGUACCUAGACAGUAUAUUUUGCUUUUAUUGGUACAUUUAUGCUAGAGUUUUAUGUGAGAGGAGUUUAGUACUAACGGAGUAGAGAUGAAAUUUUUUGAUACUGUUGGGCACUGAUAACGGCGAAGGCAGACCUUUAUGUAAAAACUGACGUUGAGGGACGAAGGCUUGGGUAGCAAACAGGAUUAGGUACCCUAAUAGUCCAGGCAGAAAAUGAUGAGUGUCAUAGAUUAGAGUAAAUUUGGUCUAUAAAUGAAAGUGUAAGCAUUCCACCUCAAGAGUACUGUGGCAACGCUGGAACUGAAAUCAUUAGACCGUGCUUGAAACCAGUAGUGAAGUAUGUUAUUUAAUUCGAUGACCCGCGAAAAACCUUACCACGAAUUGUAUAUUAAUAGCAAAAUAAAACAGAAUCGUUUUAGUUGGAAUCUUUUAAAUAAGAAUGUUGUUUAUACAA
RNAcentral lists this ribosomal RNA (635 nucleotides) under Bryostigma lapidicola. Its description in RNAcentral is "mitochondrial SSU rRNA". It matches the Rfam family "Bacterial small subunit ribosomal RNA", at positions 396 to 1052 of the family's 1533-position model. Lineage: Eukaryota; Fungi; Ascomycota; Arthoniomycetes; Arthoniales; Arthoniaceae. The record is from RNAcentral.